RNAcentral lists this ribosomal RNA (254 nucleotides) under uncultured bacterium. RNAcentral's name for it is "partial 16S ribosomal RNA". It matches the Rfam family "Bacterial small subunit ribosomal RNA", at positions 524 to 776 of the family's 1533-position model. The record is from RNAcentral.
UACGGAGGGUGCGAGCGUUGUCCGGAAUCAUUGGGCGUAAAGGGCGCGUAGGUGGCCCGGUCAGUUCGUGGUGAAAGCGCGGGGCUCAACCCUGCGUCGGCCAUGAAUACUGCCGCGGCUGGAGCACUGUAGAGGCAGGCGGAAUUCCCAGUGUAGAGGUGAAAUUCGUAGAUAUUGGGAAGAACACCGGUGGCGAAGGCGGCGACCUGGUCCGUGACUGACGCUGAGGCGCGAAAGCGUGGGGAGCAAACAGG